UCGGAUAUGGUAUAUUUGGCAAUAAAAUUAGCUAGGACUUGUGCUUUCAUGGACAGUCGUGGGCGAUAUUGAAUGUCAAAUUUAUCAAGCUUUACUUUCCACUUUGCCAUCCAACCUGAUGUGUCAGGUUGAUGUAAGAUCGCCUUCAGCAGCUGAUCUAUCAAAACUACAAUUUGAUGGGCUUGAAAGUACGGACGAAGUCGUUGUACUGAUAUAAUCAGGG
This 223-nucleotide long non-coding RNA is filed under the name Elaeis guineensis (African oil palm). Its description in RNAcentral is "long non-coding RNA (EGUI_LNC002926)". Lineage: Eukaryota; Viridiplantae; Streptophyta; Magnoliopsida; Arecales; Arecaceae. The record is from RNAcentral.